AGGGUUUGAUUCUGGCUCAGAUUGAACGCUGGCGGCAUGCUUUACACAUGCAAGUCGAACGGCAGCGCGGGCUUCGGCCUGGCGGCGAGUGGCGAACGGGUGAGUAAUACAUCGGAACGUGCCCAGUAGUGGGGGAUAGCUCGGCGAAAGCCGGAUUAAUACCGCAUACGACCUGAGGGUGAAAGCGGGGGAUCUUCGGACCUCGCGCUAUUGGAGCGGCCGAUGGCAGAUUAGCUAGUUGGUGGGGUAAAGGCCUACCAAGGCGACGAUCUGUAGCUGGUCUGAGAGGACGACCAGCCACACUGGGACUGAGACACGGCCCAG
Molecule: ribosomal RNA, 324 nt
Filed under: uncultured bacterium
Lineage: Bacteria
Description: bacterial SSU rRNA
Rfam family: Bacterial small subunit ribosomal RNA
Source: RNAcentral